CAGCACCUCAAGUGGUCAGGAUGAUUAUUGGGCCUAAAGCAUCCGUAGCCUGCUUUGUUAGUUUUCGGUUAAAUCCAUACGCUCAACGUAUGGGCUGCCGGGAAUACUGCAAAGCUAGGGAGUGGGAGAGGUAGACGGUACUCGGUAGGAAGGGGUAAAAUCCUUUGAUCUAUUGAUGACCACCUGUGGCGAAGGCGGUCUACCAGAACACGUCCGACGGUGAGAGAUGAAAGCUGGGGGAGCAAACCGGAUUAGAUACCCGAGUAGUCC
RNAcentral lists this ribosomal RNA (270 nucleotides) under uncultured archaeon. RNAcentral describes it as "partial 16S ribosomal RNA". It matches the Rfam family "Archaeal small subunit ribosomal RNA", at positions 477 to 747 of the family's 1478-position model. The record is from RNAcentral.